UCGAGAAUUUUUCUCAAUGGGGGAAACCCUGAAGGAGCGACGCCGCGUGGGGGAUGAAGGACUUCGGUUCGUAAACCCCUGUCACUUGGGAACAAAAGCUGCAACCUAACACGUUGCAGUCUGAUAGUACCAGGAGAGGAAGGCACGGCUAACUCUGUGCCAGCAGCCGCGGUAAUACAGAGGUGCCAAGCGUUGUUCGGAUUUAUUGGGCGUAAAGGGUGCGUAGGCGGUUAUGUAAGUCGGAUGUGAAAUCCCGGAGCCUAACUCCGGAACGGCAUUCGAAACUGCAUAGCUCGAGGUCUGGAGAGGUGACUGGAAUUCUCGGUGUAGCAGUGAAAUGCGUAGAUAUCGAGAGGAACACCAGAGGCGAAGGCGAGUCACUGGACAGAACCUGACGCUGAGGCACGAAAGCUAGGGGAGCAAACGG
RNAcentral lists this ribosomal RNA (427 nucleotides) under uncultured bacterium. RNAcentral describes it as "bacterial SSU rRNA". It matches the Rfam family "Bacterial small subunit ribosomal RNA", at positions 355 to 775 of the family's 1533-position model. The record is from RNAcentral.